This is a non-coding RNA of Acanthosepion pharaonis, 105 nucleotides long. The record is from the annotation of a GenBank genome assembly. NCBI's taxonomy places the organism in Eukaryota, Metazoa, Mollusca, Cephalopoda, Sepiida, Sepiidae.
CAUAUCACUUUGUAAUACCGGUUCCCGUACGAUCGCCAAAGUUAAGCAACUUCGCGUCUGGUCAGUACCUAGCUGGUGACCUUUUGGGAAUACAAGAUACUGUAA